UGGGGAAUUUUGGACAAUGGGCGCAAGCCUGAUCCAGCAAUGCCGCGUGCAGGAUGAAGGCCUUCGGGUUGUAAACUGCUUUUGUACGGAGCGAAAAGGUCUGCCCUAAUACGGUGGGCUCAUGACGGUACCGUAAGAAUAAGCACCGGCUAACUACGUGCCAGCAGCCGCGGUAAUACGUAGGGUGCGAGCGUUAAUCGGAAUUACUGGGCGUAAAGCGUGCGCAGGCGGUUAUGCAAGACAGAGGUGAAAUCCCCGGGCUCAACCUGGGAACUGCCUUUGUGACUGCAUCGCUGGAGUGCGGCAGAGGGGGAUGGAAUUCCGCGUGUAGCAGUGAAAUGCGUAGAUAUGCGGAGGAACACCGAUGGCGAAGGCAAUCCCCUGGGCCUGCACUGACGCUCAUGCACGAAAGCGUGGGGAGCAAACA
This 427-nucleotide ribosomal RNA is filed under the name uncultured bacterium. Its description in RNAcentral is "bacterial SSU rRNA". It matches the Rfam family "Bacterial small subunit ribosomal RNA", at positions 355 to 774 of the family's 1533-position model. The record is from RNAcentral.